RNAcentral lists this ribosomal RNA (429 nucleotides) under Bacteroidota bacterium. Its description in RNAcentral is "Bacteroidetes bacterium partial 16S ribosomal RNA". It matches the Rfam family "Bacterial small subunit ribosomal RNA", at positions 355 to 776 of the family's 1533-position model. Lineage: Bacteria; Pseudomonadati; Bacteroidota. The record is from RNAcentral.
UAGGGAAUCUUCCGCAAUGGACGCAAGUCUGACGGAGCAACGCCGCGUGAGUGAAGAAGGAUUUCGGUUCGUAAAACUCUGUUGUUAGAGAAGAACAGCGCAUAGAGUAACUGUUAUGCGUGUGACGGUAUCUAACCAGAAAGCCACGGCUAACUACGUGCCAGCAGCCGCGGUAAUACGUAGGUGGCAAGCGUUGUCCGGAUUUAUUGGGCGUAAAGCGAGCGCAGGCGGUCAAUUAAGUCUGAUGUGAAAGCCCCCGGCUCAACCGGGGAGGGUCAUUGGAAACUGGUUGACUUGAGGGCAGAAGAGGAGAGUGGAAUUCCAUGUGUAGCGGUGAAAUGCGUAGAUAUAUGGAGGAACACCAGUGGCGAAGGCGACUCUAUGGUCUGUAACUGACGCUGAGGCUCGAAAGCGUGGGUAGCAAACAGG